UACGUAGGGUGCAAGCGUUGUCCGGAAUUAUUGGGCGUAAAGAGCUCGUAGGCGGUCUGUCGCGUCUGCUGUGAAAACCCAGGGCUUAACCCUGGGCCUGCAGUGGGUACGGGCAGACUAGAGUGCGGUAGGGGAGAUCGGAAUUCCUGGUGUAGCGGUGAAAUGCGCAGAUAUCAGGAGGAACACCGGUGGCGAAGGCGGAUCUCUGGGCCGUAACUGACGCUGAGGAGCGAAAGCAUGGGGAGCGAACAGG
RNAcentral lists this ribosomal RNA (253 nucleotides) under uncultured bacterium. Its description in RNAcentral is "partial 16S ribosomal RNA". It matches the Rfam family "Bacterial small subunit ribosomal RNA", at positions 524 to 776 of the family's 1533-position model. The record is from RNAcentral.